This 229-nucleotide long non-coding RNA is filed under the name Mytilus galloprovincialis (Mediterranean mussel). The record is from RNAcentral. Lineage: Eukaryota; Metazoa; Mollusca; Bivalvia; Mytilida; Mytilidae.
CUUUAACCUGAAAUUUGCACUAUCAUUUUCUAUGUUCAGUGAACCGUAAAAUUGGGGUCAAAACUCUAAUUUGGCAUUUAAAUUAGAAAAAAAACAUAUCAUAGGGCACAUGUUACUAAGUUUCAAGUUGAUUGGACUUCAUCUUCAUCAAAAACUACCUUGACCAAAAACUUUAACCUGAAGCGGGACAGACGGACAGACGAACGGAGGCACUAUCGUAGGUGGGGCA